Long non-coding RNA from Oncorhynchus keta (chum salmon), 1029 nucleotides. RefSeq lists it as uncharacterized. The record is from RefSeq and is a predicted model, not a curated record. The transcript is spliced from 4 exons. Lineage: Eukaryota; Metazoa; Chordata; Actinopteri; Salmoniformes; Salmonidae.
AUUGAUGUCACUUAGAUGGAGGGAGAGGAGACAGGUUAAAGAAGCUAUGAUCCCUUAUUGAUGUCACUUAGAUGGAGGGGAGGAGACAGGUUAAAGAAGCUAUGAUCCCUUAUUGAUGUCACUUAGAUGGAGGGGAGGAGACAGGUUAAAGAAGCUAUGAUCCCUUAUUGAUGUCACUUAGAUGGAGGGGAGGAGACAGGUUAAAGAAGCUAUGAUCCCUUAUUGAUGUCACUUAGAUGGAGGGGAGGAGACAGGUUAAAGAAGCUAUGAUCCCUUAUUGAUGUCACUUAGAUGGAGGGGAGGAGACAGGUUAAAGAAGCUAUGAUCCCUUAUUGAUGUCACUUAGAUGGAGGGGAGGAGACAGGUUAAAGAAGCUAUGAUCCCUUAUUGAUGUCACUUAGAUGGAGGGGAGGAGACAGGUUAAAGAAGCUGUGAUCCCUUAUUGAUGUCACUUAGAUGGAGGGGAGGAGACAGGUUAAAGAAGCUAUGAUCCCUUAUUGAUGUCACUUAGAUGGAGGGGAGGAGACAGGUUAAAGAAGCUAUGAUCCCUUAUUGAUGUCACUUAGAUGGAGGGGAGGAGACAGGUUAAAGAAGCUAUGAUCCCUUAUUGAUGUCACUUAGAUGGAGGGGAGGAGACAGGUUAAAGAAGCUGUGAUCCCUUAUUGAUGUCACUUAGAUGGAGGGGAGGAGACAGGUUAAAGAAGCUAUGAUCCCUUAUUGAUGUCACUUAGAUGGAGGGGAGGAGACAGGUUAAAGAAGCUGUGAUCCCUUAUUGAUGUCACUUAGAUGGAGGGGAGGAGACAGGUUAAAGAAGCUAUGAUCCCUUAUUGAUGUCACUUGUUAAAUCCACUUCAAUCAGUGCAGAUGGAGGGGAGGAGACAGGUUAAAUACAUAUUUUUAAGCCUUGAGAAAAUUGAGACCUGGAUUGUGUUUGUGUGCCAUUCAGAGGGUGAAUGUGCAAGAUACAAUAUAGAAGUGCUUUUGAACAGGGUAUGGUAGUAGGUGCCAGUUUGUGUCAAGAACUGCAAU